GGAUAUACUGAAAUAAAGAAGUAGAAUUCAUUAGUUGGCUAUUGCAGAGAAAGCUCAUUUACUAGUUUAUAAAAUUCACAUGCACACACACAGAGAAAAGCUUUAAAAUACUUGUAACUAAGUAAAAAAGAUAACUCUGUAGAAAACUAUAAUUGCAGAAAAGUACAUUCCUUUUUGAGAAAUUACUCUGGCCAGAUGUUCUUUCUAAUGCCAACCCAUAUCUGUUUUUCAAGGCAUAUUUUUUUUCUUCUACAGGUCUUCAAAGGCUCAGAGUGAUUGAUUGUAAUGUCAACAAAGAAUGAAAACAUCAUCUCACUGGUUGUGAUUAGUGAAGUUGCGGGAUAUCAAUAUUCACACACACAUAUCAUCAUCAUUUAGCAUCUGCUUUCCUUGUUGGCAUGGGUUAGGACAUUAGACUGAAACUGGACGUCCGUAUACUACAAACCAACCUUCACUGGACAAUUCCUCAACUUCAAUUCCUACCAUCCAUACAGUAUAAAGAGAGGGAUUGCUCAGUGCAUAAAACAUCAAGCAAAGACUAUAAGUAGUGAUCCUGAUACACACCAGGAAGAAAUGAUCAGGCUAAGAAACAAUCUGCUAUGCAACAACUACCCAAAGAAUAUACUAUCCAGUCUGAUGAGGAAGAGGAUGAAACCCAUAAACUGAGCAGUCUGGCUACCCUAUGUCAAAGGCCUCACGUAAAAGAUACAAAAGAUAUCCAUUCUAUAUGACAUCAGAACAGUAUUCAGGAGUAAUACAACACUUCACAAAUAUCUUCUCCAAGUAAAACCACC
Octopus sinensis (East Asian common octopus) is the source of this 794-nucleotide long non-coding RNA. RefSeq lists it as uncharacterized. The transcript is spliced from 2 exons. Lineage: Eukaryota; Metazoa; Mollusca; Cephalopoda; Octopoda; Octopodidae. The record is from RefSeq and is a predicted model, not a curated record.